RNAcentral lists this long non-coding RNA (400 nucleotides) under Dermacentor andersoni. RNAcentral's name for it is "uncharacterized LOC126534817". The record is from RNAcentral. Lineage: Eukaryota; Metazoa; Arthropoda; Arachnida; Ixodida; Ixodidae.
GCCACGAGCACAUCGAAAAUGGAUUUCACCGCUCUUUCUGCGCACGCGCGAGGAGCAGUAGUUGCGAGGGAGAAAUAUGGGGACUUUUGGUGCUCAAAAUUUCUCUUCGCCUAGGUACUACGGGAAAGAAAGCUGUUAGCUCUGUUUGUCCCUAGCCGAGCUUGCAGCACAGAAUCGACAGGAUGCGUGGGCGGCAAGACGAAAAAGCCGCGUCCGAGAUCCGUAAUGUCGGAUAGCUGCUCUGUGACCGAUGAAGAACAGCGUGCCCGUGAGGAUCACCUUUGCAAACAGAAGCAGGAGUGGGCACGAAAGCAUCGGCGACCAAUUGCAGUAUAUCACAGUGACCACAAAGCAAUGGUUACCAUGGUGACAAAGUAAAUAGAAUAUCAAAGAUAACGAA